UACUAAGCGGAGGAAAAGAAACCAACGGGGAUUCCCAUAGUAACGGCGAGUGAAAGGGGAAGAGCCCAGCGCCGAAUCCUGCUGCUGGCAACGGUGGUAGGAACUGUGGCGUGAAGACAGUCCAUUCCAGUGCGGCUAGCUUGCGUAAGUUCUCCUGAGUGAGGCUCCAUCCCAUGGAGGGUGCAAGGCCCGUAUCGUAAGCAGUCGGUGCUGGUUUAAGCUGUUGGAGAGUCGCCUUGUUUGCGAGUACAAGGUGAAGUCGGUGGUAAACUCCAUCGAAGGCUAAAUAUGACCACGAGUCCGAUAGCGAACAAGUACCGUGAGGGAAAAUUGAAAAGCACUUUGAAGAGAGAGCGAAACAGUGCGUGAAACCGCUUAGAGGCAAGCAGAUGGGGCCUCGAAGGCAAAGCAGUGAAUUCAGCUGGUAGUCCGUAGUGCCGGCUUGCUCAUAGACCGCAAGGCUAUGGUAGGUUGUGAGGCUGCGGCUGCUAGUGCACUUUCACUGUUUGUACGCCACCGCCGUUGAGCGAGCGUCCGUCAGGCCAGCGUGUGAAGCCUUGUUCCUGCAAGGGAACAGGUGUCUUACUGCUGGCUAUCGACGCGUUCGCACCUCAACCGGUCAUGUCAGCGUGUGCCAGCGUAUUGCGUAUUGGGCUCGUGCACCCUAUGUUUGCGUCGGAGAUGACAAGCUUGCUUGGCUCACUGGCGUAGGCUAGGAAUGUGCGGGUUUGCAACGUAGGCACAUUGUCGAUUCGGUGGCGAGUAGACGGCUGCCCAUCUAACCC
This 785-nucleotide ribosomal RNA is filed under the name Ramazzottius varieornatus. RNAcentral describes it as "eukaryotic LSU rRNA". It matches the Rfam family "Eukaryotic large subunit ribosomal RNA", at positions 44 to 650 of the family's 3401-position model. The record is from RNAcentral. Lineage: Eukaryota; Metazoa; Tardigrada; Eutardigrada; Parachela; Ramazzottiidae.